This 708-nucleotide ribosomal RNA is filed under the name Klebsiella sp. RNAcentral's name for it is "bacterial SSU rRNA". It matches the Rfam family "Bacterial small subunit ribosomal RNA", at positions 29 to 732 of the family's 1533-position model. Lineage: Bacteria; Pseudomonadati; Pseudomonadota; Gammaproteobacteria; Enterobacterales; Enterobacteriaceae. The record is from RNAcentral.
UUGAACGCUGGCGGCAGGCCUAACACAUGCAAGUCGAGCGGUAGCACAGAGAGCUUGCUCUCGGGUGACGAGCGGCGGACGGGUGAGUAAUGUCUGGGAAACUGCCUGAUGGAGGGGGAUAACUACUGGAAACGGUAGCUAAUACCGCAUAACGUCGCAAGACCAAAGUGGGGGACCUUCGGGCCUCAUGCCAUCAGAUGUGCCCAGAUGGGAUUAGCUGUAGGUGGGGUAACGGCUCACCUAGGCGACGAUCCCUAGCUGGUCUGAGAGGAUGACCAGCCACACUGGAACUGAGACACGGUCCAGACUCCUACGGGAGGCAGCAGUGGGGAAUAUUGCACAAUGGGCGCAAGCCUGAUGCAGCCAUGCCGCGUGUGUGAAGAAGGCCUUCGGGUUGUAAAGCACUUUCAGCGGGGAGGAAGGCGUAGGUUAAUAACCUCACGAUUGACGUUACCCGCAGAAGAAGCACCGGCUAACUCCGUGCCAGCAGCCGCGGUAAUACGGAGGGUGCAAGCGUUAAUCGGAAUUACUGGGCGUAAAGCGCACGCAGGCGGUCUGUCAAGUCGGAUGUGAAAUCCCCGGGCUCAACCUGGGAACUGCAUUCGAAACUGGCAGGCUAGAGUCUUGUAGAGGGGGGUAGAAUUCCAGGUGUAGCGGUGAAAUGCGUAGAGAUCUGGAGGAAUACCGGUGGCGAAGGCGGCCCCCUGA